AGAGUUUGAUCAUGGCUCAGAAUGAACGCUAGCGGCGUGCUUAACACAUGCAAGUCGUACGAGAACUCUUUAGCUUGCUAAAGAUAGUAAAGUGGCGCACGGGUGAGUAACGCGUGGGUAAUCUACCUCUGAAUUUGGGAUAACUCCGCGAAAGCGGGGCUAAUACCGGAUAAUAUUUCAGGAUCUUCGGGUCUUGAAAUCAAAGGUGGCUUCUACAUGUAAGCUACUGUUUGGAGAUGAGCCCGCGUACCAUUAGCUUGUUGGUAGGGUAAUGGCCUAUCAAGGCUACGAUGGUUAGCUGGUCUGAGAGGAUGAUCAGCCACACUGGAACUGACACACGGUCCAGACUCCUACGGGAGGCAGC
Molecule: ribosomal RNA, 364 nt
Filed under: uncultured bacterium
Lineage: Bacteria
Description: bacterial SSU rRNA
Rfam family: Bacterial small subunit ribosomal RNA
Source: RNAcentral